Small nucleolar RNA from Humulus lupulus (European hop), 104 nucleotides. NCBI's taxonomy places the organism in Eukaryota, Viridiplantae, Streptophyta, Magnoliopsida, Rosales, Cannabaceae. The record is from RefSeq and is a predicted model, not a curated record.
UAACCAUGAUGUGGGCAACGUCGUAUUAAGUCCUUAAACCUUUCCCAAGCCUCAUAGACUGGUUCUUGCUCUAAUUUUUUAAAUUUCCCAAUAUCACUGCGUAA